GUUUAGGGCCUCACUUGUAGCAUGUGGAGGUUCCCAGGGUAGGGGUUGAAUCGGAGCUACAGCUGCCAGCCUAUGCCACAGCCACAGCCACGCCAGAUCCAAGCCCCGUCUGCGACCUACACCACAGCUCACGGCAACACCGGAUCCUUAACCCACUGAGCGAGGCCAGUGAUCGAACCCGCAACCUCGUGGUUCCUAGUCGGAUUCGUUUCUGCUUAGUAGGGACUUCCUGCUGUGGCACAGUGGAAGUGAAUCCAAUUAGGAGCCAUGAAGCUGCUGGUUCGAUCCCAGGCCUUGCUCAGUGGGUUAAGGAUCUGGCCUUGCUGUGAGCUGUGGUGUAGAUUGUAGAUGCAGCUUGGAUCUGAUGUUGCUGUGGUGUAGGCUGGAAGCUAGCUGUAGCUCCGGUUUGACCCCUAGCCUGGGAAUCUCCACAUGCCCCGGGUGUGACCCUAAAAAGCAAAAUAAAUAAGAAAAUGUCAGAGUAACCAUUUUAAGUGACAUGGUCCUAGAAAAUAAUUCUGACAUGUUUACUCAAUGUGCUUCUGACCUGGGCCAUGCCUUGUGUGUAGGUUCUUUAUCCAUAAAACAUUGGAAAUGAGCAUAUGGCAUAAACUGGUGAAAGCUGGGGCCUUUAUUUCCCAGAUUCAGUACACAGGACCAGCUAGGGCCUGUCAGCAGCAGAUCCAAAAUUCCUUGAGUGAAUCUGCUUCGGGAGAAUGUGAACUAAAGCGGGUGUGAUCAGAAAGCCUUCACUUGGUGGUGUGAGGUGUAUUUUGUUAUUUUCUUGGUACUCGGUUUAACAUUAGUAGAUCAUCUCAUUUUUCCUGGGGAGACAGCCAGGUUGACCUUAGGCCUUUGCGGCAUUUCAUAGUUUUACAAAGUUAUUUAAGCUCUCUGGAUCAUCUUUCCUCAGCUGUAAAAUGAAAUGAACAGCAUCUACAGCAUGGAGCUAUGGUAAAAAUCAUGACCUGGCAGCAAAAAUUAUUCCAAACUUCUUUCUGAAAUAAAAUGAAGUAAACCGAACCAAGAGAAAGAUGAAAAGAUUAUGGCAUGUAAUAGGUGUUCAAUAAAUCUAAGUCCCUGAAUAAUAUUUUAUGUUUCUUCCCAUCUUACAGGGAGAAUUCCACCAUUCUAAUUGAUAAAUAUGUGAAAAUAACUCCCAACCACCAAUGGUGAGACAUCCCUCAGUAUCAAAGUAUUUCAUCUGCUUCAAAGUGAAGAUCUAUUGCAAAUUAAAACCGAAGGCACACAACUUCAAAGAGAAGUCCGACUUGAAUGGAAAAGAGAAAAAAAACCUGAAUAUAACGCUAAGUCUGGCAUGAGAUGAUGACUCAGAAAAUUGGACUUCAGGACUGUCCGUCAAUGGCUGCCUUGUGUACAGAAGGAGCUGAUUUCCUCCAAAUUAAUAGAAUGAUCCUUCUAUGCUUUCAGGAAUUGCCUGCAACUUGGCAAGAAAGAAGAGGCACACAUCAAAAUGGAGAAGAAAGAGGAAAAUAAGCAAAUGUGCUAGUGGCAGUGGUUGCAUUUUGGUUUCGCUCUCUUUUGAGUUCCUAGCAUUUCUUCUGCUUGGCAUCUGCAGUUGGCAGUCACUGAAGUGGUUGCUGCCUGAUGGAUGUGGUGAGACGAUUGCCAAUAAAUGAUCAUCUUUAUUGGCAAUAGUCUUCCCUUCACUUGUUCCUGCUAUGCAAAUAAUAUAGAACGAGCUGAAAUAUGUAUCCCUGAAACAAGUAAUGCGAGUACAGGUCUUCCUAAAGGAUACAUGAUUCUAUUGCCAACUACUCUUUUGAAUGUGUUUACCCACGGAUUUCCACAAAGGGAACCUCAAAACUCAUGCUAAUUUUUAAAAAUGUGAAUGUAUUUAUUUUUUAUUAAAGUAUAAUUGACUUACAAUGUUGUGCAAAUUUCUGCUGUAAGCAAAGUGAACCUCUUUAUAUACAUACAUUCUUUUUUUUAUACAAUCUUCCAUGAUGGUUUGUCCGAAGAGAUUGGAUAUAGUUCUCUGUGCUAUUCAGCAGGACCUCAUUGCUUAUCCGCUCUAAAAGCAAUAGUUUACUGCUAACUACCAACCCCGAAUUCCUAUUCCAUCCCACUCCUUUCCCCUCCCACCUUGGCAACCACAAGUCUGUUCUCUGUGUCUUUGAGUUGUCUUCUUUUUUGUGGGUAGGUUCAUUUGCGUCAUGCUGAUUAUUCCUUGUUAGGGACCCAGGACCAUUUUCCACUUUGCUCUCACCAGAGCCGCUGCAUUCGGAUUCUUAACCCACAGCACCCACAGUAGGAACUCCCUCCAAGGACCAUUCCUGUUGGAUGAGAAUUUCUCUCCUCUACUUCAGCUCACUGAGAGCUCUGUUAACAGCUUCCUCCUCUCAGCAUUUCAGCCUGAGGGCAGCAAAAGCCCCCCAGUUUACCCAUCUGAUUCUCAACGCCCUUUGUUGGCUUCUGUAAAAUUCCCUGCCUUACACUCUCUGAAAUUUGCAGCGGAGUGUAUGUCCUGCCUCCCAUGACGGUCUUGACUGAUACAUCCAAAAUCACACUAAUAGAUAACUAAAACGAGUUCCUUAUUUCAAUAAUGCAAUUAGAGUAAAAUUCUGCACUUUGGCAUAUGUCAUUUAAAAAAAAAAGCCAUUUAUUUGCCCACCUCACAUUAGACAGAGAGGCUGAAAGAUUCGAGGGUCAUAUGGAUCAAAUAUUUAAGAAAUAUCCAUGAGUUGUAUUAAGUUGUGUUUCUCUGCAUGGCGUUGUAUAAGAUAAAUAGGAUUUCCUGUGUGGUCAUUUAAGUGAUUUCCAAAGAUAAUGAUUUGGCAGUUUGGUCAUUCAGGGUGCUCUGUGAAGCCUGAUAAUGUGACCCAUUUACAGGCAGAUGCUGGAAAAACAGUUGGUAUUUGAACCCUUAGUGUCCCAGGUAAUUACAGUCAUCAUUUUUUAAAUCUCUUCAGAACCUUCACCGCCCUUUAGCCCUUCACCUGCUCAAGAAACAGAGCAAGACCUCAAUUUGUUCAAAUGUCGCGAGCAAAUGGGAGUAACUUACAGAUAUUGGUUUAGGACAUUUAAAAAAAUUCAAUAGGGAGUUCCCAUCAUGGCUCAGCAGAAAUGAAUCUGAAUAGCAUCCAUGAGGACACAGGUUCCAUCCCUGGCCUCACUCAGUGGGUUAAGGAUCUGGCCUUGCUGUGAACUGUGGUAUAUGUCAGCAGCUGCAGCUCUGAUUCAACCCCUCCCCUGGGAAUAUCUACAUGCCUUGGGUGCAGCCUUAAAAAGACAAAAAAAAAAAAAAAAAAAAAUUGGAUAGGUUUUAAUGUACAUCAUGGAAAUGAAAUGUAACCCUAAUCAGUCACUCUCCCUGUCAAAAAUCAAUUAGUAAGGAGAAUAAUUUUGUGCAACUUUGAGAAAUAGUAAUAGGAAGAAGCAGGAAGGGUAGAAAUUAAUCAAAUGACAGUGGGCCUUAUAGCUAGAAAAAGGCCAUCCCAGGAUAAGUGCCCAGAGCCGGGGGCCAUGGACCACACACCACACACAGGCUUAACAGCCCUUCCGCCCUUUCCAUUCUGUUUCCUCACACAACAUCCACAGAAAUGUUCACAGGACGGAAGAGCAACCAAUGGGAGCUUAAAAGGUUGAGAGAGAGGGAAAGGGGGAGAGAAUGAGAAGGAAAGCAGCUAGCGUUUAUUUGACUCUCAUAAUUUAUUAAUGGCUUUAAUGAAAUGCAAUAACUUUGGAUGACAUGAAAACAAGAAGAUGAGAAUAAAAACAGCUGCAAUGAUCACAAUAAAUGUCCCCAUAUUACGAAGGUAAGCCUCUUAGAAAUACCUGCUUAAAUUCCUUAAGAUAAUACCGAACCUCAACUUGAAAACAGGAAAAUGCAGCUCACGCCAAGAAGCACUAAAAUAACACACUUUGAACUGAUACUCAGCUUUGCAGACAAGGAAGGCAAAAGGCAUUUAAAUAAAGUACCAUCUGACGCUUACUGAGGUAGGAGAUACAAAUUAAAAUAAUAAAUCUAAUGUUGGCAGGAGUUGCUAGGAGUCCUAUGAAUCGCUGUAAAUGAGUGCAAUGAACUUGGAAAACAACCACGCAAUCUUCAAUCAGAGUCAGACU
RNAcentral lists this long non-coding RNA (4086 nucleotides) under Sus scrofa (pig). RNAcentral describes it as "lncRNA (ENSSSCG00035004408.1)". The record is from RNAcentral. Lineage: Eukaryota; Metazoa; Chordata; Mammalia; Artiodactyla; Suidae.